Molecule: ribosomal RNA, 494 nt
Filed under: uncultured bacterium
Lineage: Bacteria
Description: partial 16S ribosomal RNA
Rfam family: Bacterial small subunit ribosomal RNA
Source: RNAcentral
GACGAACGCUGGCGGCGUGCCUAAUACAUGCAAGUAGAACGCUGAAGGAGGAGCUUGCUCUUCUGGAUGAGUUGCGAACGGGUGAGUAACGCGUAGGUAACCUGCCUGGUAGCGGGGGAUAACUAUUGGAAACGAUAGCUAAUACCGCAUAACAGUAGAUGUUGCAUGACAUUUACUUAAAAGGUGCAAUUGCUUCACUACCAGAUGGACCUGCGUUGUAUUAGCUAGUUGGUGGGGUAACGGCUCACCAAGGCGACGAUACAUAGCCGACCUGAGAGGGGGAUCGGCCACACUGGAACUGAGACACGGCCAAGACUCCUACGGGAGGCAGCAGUAGGGAAUCUUCGGCAAUGGACGGAAGUCUGACCGAGCAACGCCGCGUGAGUGAAGAAGGUUUUCGGAUCGUAAAGCUCUGUUGUAAGAGAAGAACGAGUGUGAGAGUGGAAAGUGCACACUGUGACGGUAUCUUACCAGAAAGGGACGGCUAACUACGU